GACGAACGCUGGCGGCGUGCUUAACACAUGCAAGUCGAACGGUAAGGCCCUUCGGGGUACACGAGUGGCGAACGGGUGAGUAACACGUGGGUGAUCUGCCCUGCACUUCGGGAUAAGCCUGGGAAACUGGGUCUAAUACCGGAUAGGACCACUGCCUGCAUGGGUGGUGGUGGAAAGCUUUUGCGGUGUGGGAUGGGCCCGCGGCCUAUCGGCUUGUUGGUGGGGUGAUGGCCUACCAAGGCGACGACGGGUAGCCGGCCUGGGAGGGUGGAGUGCCCCCCUGGGAAUGCGCUCCGGCCCAGACUCCUACGGGAGGCAGCAGUGGGGAAUAUUGCACAAUGGGCUCACGCCUGAUGCGGCGACGCCGCGUGAGGGAUGACGGCCGUCCUUUUGUAAACCUCUUUCAGCACCGACGAAGCGAAAGUGACGGUUGUUGCAGAAGAAGGACCGGCCAACUACGUGCCAGCCGCCGCGGUAA
RNAcentral lists this ribosomal RNA (478 nucleotides) under uncultured bacterium. RNAcentral describes it as "partial 16S ribosomal RNA". It matches the Rfam family "Bacterial small subunit ribosomal RNA", at positions 28 to 523 of the family's 1533-position model. The record is from RNAcentral.